Molecule: ribosomal RNA, 460 nt
Filed under: uncultured bacterium
Lineage: Bacteria
Description: partial 16S ribosomal RNA
Rfam family: Bacterial small subunit ribosomal RNA
Source: RNAcentral
CCUACGGGUGGCAGCAGUGAGGAAUAUUGGUCAAUGGGCGGAAGCCUGAACCAGCCAAGUAGCGUGAAGGAUGACGGCCCUAUGGGUUGUAAACCGCUUUUAUACGGGAAUAAAGGGCCGUACGAGUAGGGUUUUGCAGGUACCGGAAGAAUAAGGACCGGCUAAUUCCGUGCCAGCAGCCGCGGUAAUACGGAAGGUCCGGGCGUUAUCCGGAUUUAUUGGGUUUAAAGGGAGCGUAGGCCGCAUGUCAAGCGUGCGGUUAAAUUUCCGGGGUCAACCCGCUCCUGGCAGCGCGAACUGGCGUGCUUGAGUCUGCGGAAAGCAGGCGGAAUUCGUCGUGUAGCGGUGAAAUGCUUAGAUAUGACGAAGAACCCCGAUUGCGAAGGCAGCUUGCUGCAGCUGAACUGACGCUGAUGCUCGAAAGCGCGGGUAUCGAACAGGAUUAGAUACCCGAGUAGUC